Molecule: long non-coding RNA, 514 nt
Organism: Phlebotomus papatasi
Lineage: Eukaryota; Metazoa; Arthropoda; Insecta; Diptera; Psychodidae
Exons: 3
Source: RefSeq, a predicted model, not a curated record
AUUGCUGAAUUGGUAUACGUCGCAGAUUAGCACGGACAACAUCCAUCCGGGAAAGAUGAAUUGGGUGGAGGGAGUGAAGAAGUCGCGAGCAAAGGAAUCCCCGAGCGUCUGCCACGAAUCGAGGUCAACGGCGAGACGAAAAGAAAUAUCUAUAGCUCUGGAGUUCGGCGUUGGUUGCGUGAAAUCAGUCUCAUGCGACUAACUGAAGAAUUGGAUCAUCAGUAGGAGAAUUGACCAUGCUUCAGAAUGAUACAGGAAUACCUAACCAACACAUAUGAGGAAAGUUUCCUUUCCGAGAACAACUAAGAAAACAUAUUCGACGAAUCAGCAUAAAUGGCAUUUGGGUUAACCCCAAAAAGAAGAAUUCUCUCUCACUCUGACAAACUUUCUUUUGGGGAGCCAUUGAGACCGGGAUACUUCGUCCUUUCUCACUCGGUCAAGGGAGUUCAGCGUCCAUUUGGGUAAGUACCCGAAAGCCCCUGGGGGUAGGGAAUGUGUAGUGUGGGUUUUUGGG